GGGUGAGUCGGGUCCUAAGGCGAGGCCGACAGGCGUAGUCGAAUGGAUGAACGGGCUGAUAUUCCCGUACCGGCAGCGAACCGAAACAACCGAGGCCUGGGGCGCUAACCUCCGGGUCCGUGCCGUCUCCCCUUUCGGGGGGUCGCGGCGCGGGCGCGUUGGGAUCCCCCCUCGUAGUAGGUCAGCGCAGGAGUGACGCAUCAGGGCAGCCGGCCGCGGAGGUGGUUUUCCGUGGUCAAGCGUUCGAGCCCGUCCCGCAGGCAAAUCCGCGGGGCGUCGGGGCGAGGCGUGAUGAUGGGGGCCUUACGGCCCGAAUCCGGUGAUCCGUGGUGCCGAGAAAAGCUUCGGCGUCAGGCGCGUUGCCGCCCGUACCCCAAACCGACACUGGUGGUCAGGUAGAGAAUACCAAAGCGAUCGAGCGAAUCCUGGUCAAGGAACUCGGCAAAUUGCUCCCGUGCCUUCGGCAUAAGGGAGACCCCCUGCGGUGAUGAGCGGCGGGGGGUGGCACAGGCCAGGGGGUAGCGACUGUUUACCAAAAACACAGGAGCGUGCGAAGGCGCAAGCCGCUGUAUACGCUCUGACGCCUGCCCGGUGCCGGAAGGUUAAGAGGAUCCGUCAGCUUUCUGCGAAGCGGUGAAUUCAAGCCCCGGUAAACGGCGGUGGUAACUAUAACCAUCCUAAGGUAGCGAAAUUCCUUGUCGGGUAAGUUCCGACCUGCACGAAUGGCGUAACGACUUCCCCACUGUCUCGACCAGGAGCUCGGCGAAAUUGCAGUACGAGUAAAGAUGCUCGUUAAGCGCAGAAGGACGAAAAGACCCCGGGACCUUUACUAUACCUUGGUAUUGGCAUUAGGCGCGGAUUGUGUAGCAUAGGCGGGAGGCUUCGAGGCGGGUGCGCCAGCAUCCGCGGAGCCGCAAGGUGAAAUACCGCUCUGUUCUCGUUUGAUGUCUAACCUCGAACAGUCAUCCUGUUCAGGGACAGUGCCUGGCGGGUAGUUCAACUGGGGCGGUUGCCUCCCAAAGAGUAACGGAGGCGCUCAAAGGUCCGCUCGGCCCGGUUGGCAAUCGGGUGUCGAGUGUAAUCGCACAAGCGGGCUUGACUGCGAGAUCGACGGAUCGAGCAGGGACGAAAGUCGGAGAUAGUGAUCCGGUGCCGGCGCACGGGCGCGGCAUCGCUCAACGGAUAAAAGGUACCCCGGGGAUAACAGGCUGAUCAUUCCCAAGAGUCCAUAUCGACGGGAUGGUUUGGCACCUCGAUGUCGGCUCGUCGCAUCCUGGGGCUGGAGCAGGUCCCAAGGGUUCGGCUGUUCGCCGAUCAAAGCGGCACGCGAGCUGGGUUCAGAACGUCGUGAGACAGUUUGGUCUCUAUCCUCUGCGCUCGUUGGAAUCUUGAGGAGGCCUGCCCAUAGUACGAGAGGACCUGGGUGGACGAACCUCUGGUAUGCCGGUUGUCACGCCAGUGGCACGGCCGGUUGGCUACGUUCGGAAGGGAUAACCGCUGAAAGCAUCUAAGCGGGAAGCCUUCUCCAAGAUAAGGAUUCCAUGCGGCCCCGAGCCGCUGAAGACCCCAUGCAGAACACGUGGUCGAUAGGCCGGACGUGGAAGCCCCGCGAGGGGUGGAGCCGACCGGUACUAAUGGUCGAGAGGCAACCCA
RNAcentral lists this ribosomal RNA (1653 nucleotides) under human gut metagenome. Its description in RNAcentral is "bacterial LSU rRNA". It matches the Rfam family "Bacterial large subunit ribosomal RNA", at positions 1377 to 2925 of the family's 2925-position model. The record is from RNAcentral.